GGAGAGGUGUCCGAGUGGUUGAUGGUGCACGCUUGGAAAGCGUGUGUACAGCAAUGUACCGGGGGUUCGAAUCCCCCUCUCUCCG
RNAcentral lists this transfer RNA (85 nucleotides) under Leptospiraceae bacterium. RNAcentral describes it as "tRNA-Ser". It matches the Rfam family "tRNA". From Rfam's summary of the family: Transfer RNA (tRNA) molecules are approximately 80 nucleotides in length. Their secondary structure includes four short double-helical elements and three loops (D, anti-codon, and T loops). Further hydrogen bonds mediate the characteristic L-shaped molecular structure. tRNAs have two regions of fundamental functional importance: the anti-codon, which is responsible for specific mRNA codon recognition, and the 3' end, to which the tRNAs corresponding amino acid is attached (by aminoacyl-tRNA synthetases). tRNAs cope with the degeneracy of the genetic code in two manners: having more than one tRNA (with a specific anti-codon) for a particular amino acid; and 'wobble' base-pairing, i.e. permitting non-standard base-pairing at the 3rd anti-codon position. The record is from RNAcentral. Lineage: Bacteria; Pseudomonadati; Spirochaetota; Leptospiria; Leptospirales; Leptospiraceae.